RNAcentral lists this ribosomal RNA (678 nucleotides) under uncultured Clostridium sp. RNAcentral's name for it is "bacterial SSU rRNA". It matches the Rfam family "Bacterial small subunit ribosomal RNA", at positions 31 to 737 of the family's 1533-position model. The record is from RNAcentral. Lineage: Bacteria; Bacillati; Bacillota; Clostridia; Eubacteriales; Clostridiaceae.
GAACGCUGGCGGCGUGCCUAACACAUGCAAGUCGAGCGAUCUUCUUCGGAAGAGAGCGGCGGACGGGUGAGUAACGCGUGGGUAACCUGCCCUGUACACACGGAUAACAUACCGAAAGGUAUGCUAAUACGGGAUAACAUAAGAAAGUCGCAUGGAUUUCUUAUCAAAGCUUUUGCGGUACAGGAUGGACCCGCGUCUGAUUAGCUAGUUGGUAAGGUAACGGCUUACCAAGGCGACGAUCAGUAGCCGACCUGAGAGGGUGAUCGGCCACAUUGGAACUGAGACACGGUCCAAACUCCUACGGGAGGCAGCAGUGGGGAAUAUUGCACAAUGGGCGAAAGCCUGAUGCAGCAACGCCGCGUGAGCGAUGAAGGCCUUCGGGUCGUAAAGCUCUGUCCUCAAGGAAGAUAAUGACGGUACUUGAGGAGGAAGCCCCGGCUAACUACGUGCCAGCAGCCGCGGUAAUACGUAGGGGGCUAGCGUUAUCCGGAAUUACUGGGCGUAAAGGGUGCGUAGGCGGUCUUUCAAGUCAGAAGUGAAAGGCUACGGCUCAACCGUAGUAAGCUUUUGAAACUGUAAGACUUGAGUGCAGGAGAGGAGAGUGGAAUUCCUAGUGUAGCGGUGAAAUGCGUAGAUAUUAGGAGGAACACCAGUUGCGAAGGCGGCUCUCUGGACUGU